ACCAAAAAGCAAGAACGCUGCCAGGUGGAUGACUAGGCUUCAGCGCUGAUGAAGGACGUGGCAAGCUGCGAUAAGCUCCGGCGAGCUGCAUGCAAGCAUUGAACCGGAGAUCUCUCAAUGGGAUUCCCAUCAGGCCGAUAGGCAGGGAACGUGGGGAAUUGAAACGUCUGAGUACCCACAGGAGAAGAAACCAAUUGGGAUGCGGUGAGUAAGGGCGACUGAAAACCGCGCAGGGCAAACUGAAUCCUUUGGUGAAAGCCAGGGGAGAUGUGGUGUUUUGGCUCAUCAUAACGUCCGUGCUUUCUGACACGAAGUUCCCUGGAACGGGAUGCUACAGAGGGUGAUAGCCCCGUAGUGGAAGGAAAGCGUGGAUGGGAUGCGGCCAGAGUAGGGCUCCUCGGAUAUGGGGCCUGAAUUUGGGGGGCAUCAACCUCCAACCCUAAAUACGACUGAAGACCGAUAGCGUACGAGUACCGUGAGGGAACGUUGAAAAGAACCCCCGCAAGGGAGUGAAAAGAGCCUGAAACCUGGUAGCUAUAGUUUGAUACGGCCUUUAGGGGUUGUAUCGUGCGUUUCGAAUAACGUGCCAGGGAGUUUACUUCUGUGGCGAGGAUAACUGCCUUAAGGCAGGCAUCCGCAGGGAAACCGAUAAGCCCGCAACCGCAAGGUGAGGGGCAGGGCGUGAAAGCGUCCGGAGUCACAGGGGUCAGACCCGAAGCCAGACGAUCUAGUCCGGGGCAUGGUGAAGCGCGGGUAAAACCGCGUGGAGGCCAGAAGCAGUGCUACGUGCAAGUGCAUGCGUGACCUUGGAUUAGGGGUAAAAAGCCAAUCGAGUCUGGUGAUAGCUGGUUCCUGCCGAAAUUGGCCUAAGUCAAGCCUCAGCUGAGGAGGGUGCGGUGGUAGAGAUACGGAUUGGGGAUUUAGGGCUUUAACCGGCUCGGUCCUUUGUCCAACUCCGAAUGCCGCACCUCUGUAGACGCUGGGAGACGGGGGCCCGGGGUAAACUUGGGUCCCGAGAGGGGAACAACCCAGAGCACAGUUAAGGUCCCAAAAUAGUGGCUAAGUGUGAAAGGCAUAAGGGUGUCUAUGGUCGAAGACAGCGAGGAGGUUAGCUUAGAAGCAGCUACCCUUGAAAAAGUGCGUAACAGCUUACUCGUCAAGAUCAUAGGCCCCGUAAAUGGACGGGGCAAAGCCACUUACCGAUACUGUGCCAUCGCCACAAGCGAUGGGUAGGCAGGCGUCCUGCAAGGGCAGAAGCGUGUCUGUGAAGAUACGUGGACCUUGUUGGAAUGAGAAUCCUGGUGGUAGUAGGAUCGGAGCAAGGUGAGAUUCCUUGUCGCCGAAAGGGCAAGGGUUCCUUGGCAAUGUCGAUCAGCCAAGGGUUAGUCGGCCCUAACCGACCUCCUAACUGGAGGGUGUGAGGAAAGGGAGACUGGUUAAUAUUCCAGUACUGUGAGAGUAUGCGUGGUGACACAAGCUGCGUCGCAGACGCUUUGGGCUAGGCGGACAGAACUUGUCUGUUCUGCUAACACGUGCAGGCCUGGGGAGUAACGUAAUGUUGAGAACCAGGGCAACGCGUGGAAUGGCACCCCUGAGGGUGUUUCGCUGAUGUCGGGAGCCCGUGAAAACGUGACGUGGAAAAAUCUCUUACAACCGUACCAAGAACCAGCACUGGUGCCCCUGGGUGGGAAGCUCAAGGUGUGAAGGCAUAAUCCAGUUGAGGGAAUUCGGCAAACUAGCCCCGUGUCUUAGGUCGAAGGGGUCCCUGAGUUGGUACCGGAAUAGGUGCCUUCUCAGGGCGCAGUGACUAGGAUGGUCCGACUGUUUAACAAAAACGCAGCGAACUGCAAGCCCGUAAGGGUGUGUACAGUUCGUGACGUCUGCCCAGUGUCAGUACCUAAAACCCGGGUCCAACCGGGCUAAGGGCUGGUAAACGGCGGGAGUAACUAUAACUCUCUUAAGGUGAAGCGUUGCCUUAGUAAAAUUCGGCUAUAUGCUGGAACAUCCGUGUAUCCCGCAUUACCACUGGACAACCAUCCAUAACGAUUAUUACAGGGGUUGUUGUCAGGGUGACAAAAUGACGGGUGCGGACAAUCAGCAGGAAAGGCUAGAUGCCCGAUGGAUUGCAGGAUUCGUGGACGGCGAAGGAUGCUUCCACGUUGCGAUCAACAAGCUCGACAAGAUGACGAGAGGUUACCAGGUAUUGCCGGAACUUCGCAUUGUCCAGAACAAGCGCGAUAUGCGGUUAUUGCACCGCAUUCAGCAGGUUCUGGGUGGCGUGGUCCGGCAUAACCAUGAUGACAUCUACGAAGUCAGAGUACGAAGACUUGAGGAAUUGCAGCGGGUCGUGGAUUUUUUCCGCAGGUAUCCAUUACAGUCCCAGAAGCGACAUGAUUUUUCAUGCUUCGCUGAGAUUGUCGGAAUGAUGGCGCGACGCCAGCAUUUGACGGUCGAGGGAUUGGAAAAGAUUCGCAAUAUACGAGAUCGUAUGAACAGGGCGUCUGGAAUCCUCAGAGACUGCACGCCGAACCUCCGCAAGGGGGAUGAUACAGUCCGAACCGUCAGGCGACUGGCGGAGGCAUGAUGAAAGUCAUGUCCGCCACAGUGAUGUGGUCAGUAACCCGCAAGGGUGAAGUAACAGUUUGAACGAAAUGCCUUGCCGUUUGAAUGACGGCCUGCAUGAAUGGCGUAACGAGAUCGUCGCUGUCCCCAACUGGAAGCCUCCGAACACUACAUUUGUGGUGCAAAGUCCACAGACCGCUAGUGGGAAGUGAAGACCCCGUGAAACUUUACUGUAUCCUGUAGCUGCGUGACGAGUGUUGCUGUGUAGCGUAGAUGGGAGUCGCCGAAGCUUGAUCGUCAGGUCAGGUGGAGACAACGAUGAAACACCAUCCUGCUUCGCUUGCCAUGCUUUACUCGCAUGCGAGGACACCUAUAGGUGGACAGUUUGGCUGGGGUGGCACCCUGCUGAAAAGGUAUCAGCAGGGCCCAAAGGUCGGCUCAGGCAGGUCAGAAAUCUGCCGUUGAGUGCAAGGGCAUAAGCCGGCCUGACUGGAACUGUAACAUGAUCAGGUCCAGGCGCGAGAGCGUGGCCUAGCGAACUCCCGCACCUCCUUGAUGGGGGUCGGGAAUGACCGAAAAGUUACUCCGGGGAUAACAGAGUUGUCGCGCCCGAGAGCUCACAUCGACGGCGCGGUUUGCUACAUCGAUGUCGGCUCAUCCUAUCCUGGCCGUGCAGAAGCGGCCAAGGGUGUGGGUGUUCACCAAUUAAAAGGGUUCGUGAGCUGGGUUCAGAACGCUGUGAGGCAGUUUGUUUAAUAUCUACUAGCGGUGUUGGGCGUCUGAGAGGAAGGAUCUUCUAGUACGAGAGGAACGAAGGUUCGCGGCCUCUGGUUUACCGGUUAGCUGACAAGCUAUGCCGGGCAGCUACGCCGUAGCUGAUAAGGGCUGAAAGCAUCUAAGCCCGAAGCAGCCCCCGAAAAGAGACGCUCUGGGAUACGGACAACAACAUCCGGUUGAUGGAGCCGGUGUGUACGCACGAAGCUUCGGCGACGUGUUCAGCACGCGGCAACCAAUAAUCCUUCGCUUUUGGUGC
Non-coding RNA from Candidatus Woesearchaeota archaeon CG1_02_57_44, 3595 nucleotides. Lineage: Archaea; Nanobdellati; Candidatus Woesearchaeota. The record is from Rfam.